CUCUUCCAAUGUGAAACAGUUAUAUUCUUGGGGAGGAAGAAAAGAUUGAUCCUAGAAGGAAAUCAUAGCAGUGAAAGGGCUUGGGCGGCUUUUGCUUUUACUUACCUGCGCCAAACAAAUUUGACUUCUGGAGUCAGUCAUUUUGGUGUCAAGAAAUUUCUUCCGCAUUCUACAACAGGUGACUUGGAGACAGUUGUUCUGUAGGUGAGCUUUUGGGAGCCAUUGAUCCAGAACUCUCCUACCAGGGCCCCCAGCACCGAGAUGUUCCCAACGUGGCUGGGAUCCAUUAGAGACUGAAGUGGCAGAGACCACUGUCGGCUGUGGUCUCAACUUCUUGGAGCAGAAGCCAAGAGAGAGCAGUCUGAAGACGUCUCAUCCACACAUCAGUUGAAGACCAGCCUUUGGAGGUUUCCAAAGUAGAUGGUGUGUCUCCCUUGGAUGGACCGCAUGACGUAACAUUCUGCAAAUUGCUGUCAGAGGUGCUAAGAACACAAACCCAUCUGGUUUCCAUUCCUCGUUGUUGAAUGGUGUUUGCUUCAGCAGCCCACUGAGGGCUCUUUUCCUCGGGAUUCUGAACUUGUAACUAGGAAUCCGAGCUGGGAAGAUGCUGAGUUCCAUCAAGUGUGUGUUGGUGGGAGACUCUGCUGUGGGGAAAACCUCUCUGUUAGUGCGCUUCACCUCCGAGACCUUCCCAGAGGCCUACAAGCCCACAGUGUAUGAAAAUACAGGUGUCGACGUCUUCAUGGAUGGCAUCCAGAUCAGCCUGGGCCUCUGGGACACAGCUGGCAAUGAUGCCUUCAGGAGUAUCCGCCCUCUGUCCUACCAGCAGGCAGACGUGGUGCUGAUGUGCUACUCCGUGGCCAACCAUAACUCCUUCCUGAACCUGAAGAACAAGUGGAUCGGUGAAGUCAGGAGCAACCUGCCCUGCACCCCCGUGCUGGUGGUGGCCACCCAGACUGACCAGCGGGAGGUGGGGCCCCACAGGGCUUCCUGCGUCAACGCCAUAGAAGGAAAGAGACUGGCCCAGGAGGUGAGAGCCAAGGGCUACCUGGAGUGCUCAGCCCUCAGCAACCGGGGGGUACAGCAGGUAUUUGAGUGUGCCGUCCGGACUGCCAUCAACCAGGCCAGGAGACGCAACAGAAGGAGGUUCUUCUCCGUUAACGAGUGCAAGAUCCUCUAAACCCCAAAGACUCUACGCAGCAGUCACUUACGGCAAAGACUAACUGGGACAGGGAGAGCAGGCAAGCCAGCAAGGGUCGAUGCGUCUCCUGGGCACGUCCUGAGCAGCCUGAAACAGCAUGAGCAGCAGCAGGAAACCUUUCGGAUACAGUUGUUGAUGAGACUUGGCUACUGGAUGCUUUAACGAAAUACCCUCUACCAAAGAACUCUUUGCCCAGUACGGUUAGAAGAUCCCUUGGGAAACUGUAAUGACUAUUCCAUCUUCGAUUACAAAACCAAAGUGGUCUCCGUGAUUUUGGAUAAUGAAGAAAAGGGCUGGGACCAGGGUCUGAGUCUCUGCAUCCAAGAUUCCCUCAGUCCUCUGGGGCUGACAUAUCUGCCUUCACCCGGACAGCUCCAGCUCUCCAGUCCCACAGCUCAUCCUCGGCUCUGUGUCACCUGUGUCCCUUGAUUUGAGAACUACUAUAUCCAGCU
This is an RNA transcript of Balaenoptera acutorostrata (minke whale), 1653 nucleotides long. It is a transcript of the gene named ras homolog family member H, with no coding region annotated. Lineage: Eukaryota; Metazoa; Chordata; Mammalia; Artiodactyla; Balaenopteridae. The transcript is spliced from 5 exons. The record is from RefSeq and is a predicted model, not a curated record.